GCCGUGGUAGCUCAGCCUGGGAGCGGGUUCCCCAAGAGCAUCCGGCUGAAGACCGGAGUGUCGUCGGCUCAAAUCCGACCCACGGCA
Molecule: transfer RNA, 87 nt
Filed under: Nitrososphaerota archaeon
Lineage: Archaea; Thermoproteati; Nitrososphaerota
Description: tRNA-Phe
Rfam family: tRNA
About the family: Transfer RNA (tRNA) molecules are approximately 80 nucleotides in length.
Source: RNAcentral